RNAcentral lists this ribosomal RNA (726 nucleotides) under uncultured bacterium. RNAcentral's name for it is "bacterial SSU rRNA". It matches the Rfam family "Bacterial small subunit ribosomal RNA", at positions 139 to 851 of the family's 1533-position model. The record is from RNAcentral.
GGGGAUAACACUUGGAAACAGGUGCUAAUACCGUAUAACACUAUUUUCCGCAUGGAAGAAAGUUGAAAGGCGCUUUUGCGUCACUGAUGGAUGGACCCGCGGUGCAUUAGCUAGUUGGUGAGGUAACGGCUCACCAAGGCCACGAUGCAUAGCCGACCUGAGAGGGUGAUCGGCCACACUGGGACUGAGACACGGCCCAGACUCCUACGGGAGGCAGCAGUAGGGAAUCUUCGGCAAUGGACGAAAGUCUGACCGAGCAACGCCGCGUGAGUGAAGAAGGUUUUCGGAUCGUAAAACUCUGUUGUUAGAGAAGAACAAGGAUGAGAGUAAAAUGUUCAUCCCUUGACGGUAUCUAACCAGAAAGCCACGGCUAACUACGUGCCAGCAGCCGCGGUAAUACGUAGGUGGCAAGCGUUGUCCGGAUUUAUUGGGCGUAAAGCGAGCGCAGGCGGUUUCUUAAGUCUGAUGUGAAAGCCCCCGGCUCAACCGGGGAGGGUCAUUGGAAACUGGGAGACUUGAGUGCAGAAGAGGAGAGUGGAAUUCCAUGUGUAGCGGUGAAAUGCGUAGAUAUAUGGAGGAACACCAGUGGCGAAGGCGGCUCUCUGGUCUGUAACUGACGCUGAGGCUCGAAAGCGUGGGGAGCGAACAGGAUUAGAUACCCUGGUAGUCCACGCCGUAAACGAUGAGUGCUAAGUGUUGGAGGGUUUCCGCCCUUCAGUGCUGCAG